Long non-coding RNA from Rhagoletis zephyria (snowberry fruit fly), 1416 nucleotides. RefSeq lists it as uncharacterized. NCBI's taxonomy places the organism in Eukaryota, Metazoa, Arthropoda, Insecta, Diptera, Tephritidae. The record is from RefSeq and is a predicted model, not a curated record.
UACAGUUUUUUUUUUUAGAAAUGUCCAAUUUUGCUGGGCUCAAAACUUUAUUUAUGAUGAUGUUUUUUGUGACCUAUCUAUUCGUAAUUUACAGCUCGAUUCUAAAUAUUCUCGCGAAAUUAUAUUCUCACGGAUUUUUCUUUUCUCGAGAAAAAAAUCCUCCUAUUAUUUUCCGCAAGGGAGAGGAAUAAUUGAGGAAGAAUUUCGAAUUUUUGAAAUCAGCUGUUUUGCCAAAUGACAUUUCAUUUAGACAUUCUGAGAGAAUUCAAAAGUUUGAACUUUUUGUUGAAUUUUGUAUCGUUUUAAGAAAAUAUUAAAAAUAACGCAUAGUAUUGCCUUUCAUAUGGUAGUGGAGGGAGUAUAUGGCGAAUUGGAGCCACAGGAAGCUCAACAGAGGUCUAUAACAAGGAGCCUGCGCGAUAAUACGAAUCCGCUUGAGUUGCCGCAAUCAUUGUUCCAGAAAUAUUAUAGAUGUGUGACCACGAGAUUAGGAUUCGAUACGUUGAUGCCUCCCAUCCUGGUGCCUCUCAUGACUCCUUUAUUUGGAAUGGCAGUGAGUUGAGAACGCAUCUUGAAGCACAGUACUUGCGAGGUGAAGGCAAUUUUUGGCUGCUUGGAGACGCCGGAUACCCUUAAGAACCAUGGCUUCUGACCCCAUAUCGAAGCCCAGAAGAUGGCUCCAACCAAAUGAAAUUUAAUGAUGCCCAUUCAAAACGUCGGAACUUAAUUGAACGAGUCAAUGGAGUGCUAAAAAAUCGACGGAGGUGUCUCCUUGGAGCAAGAGAACUGCAUUAUACCCCCAGAAAAGCAGCUCAGAUAGUCAAUGUAUGUUGUGCGUUACAUAAUAUAUGCAUACAUUUUAAGUCAUAUACAGACAUGAGCGAAAUAAACUCACCAGAGCAGAUAAACCAAAUGAGUGAGAAUACAGAUGUUACCUCUUUAACAUCGCCCCAGUAUUUGGCUGUAGCACAAACCACAAGAAACCGAAUUGCGAGCUCCCUUUAAAUUUUAAGUUACAAAAGCAAAAAACAUUUAUUUUCAUAUUUAAUUUUUAUAAGGAUAUAUAUUAAUUUCAUAUUCGUAUUCAGUCUUUUACAAAGGGAUAAAUGAAGUGAGUACCACAAUUAAGUUUCGUAUACUAAAAAUUAUUUUUAAAAUCCAUGGAUAUACAUACAUAUAUGUAAAUAAAACGUUAUAAGGCAACACAAAUUCAGUUUCUUCUUAUUUUCUUAGUAUUAAAUUAAAAUAUAAAACAGCAUCACAAAUCAGGUAUUCUUAUACUAAAAGGCCUCAUAAUAAACAUAAAAAGAAGUUAAUAUAUAUACAUUAAAAAAUAAAAACAUCACAAAUUCAGUUAUUCUUAUACUAAAAGGCCUCAUAAUAAACAUAAAGAAGAGUUAAUAUAUGUACAUUAAA